Long non-coding RNA from Danio aesculapii, 271 nucleotides. RefSeq lists it as uncharacterized. Lineage: Eukaryota; Metazoa; Chordata; Actinopteri; Cypriniformes; Danionidae. The record is from RefSeq and is a predicted model, not a curated record. The transcript is spliced from 3 exons.
UCUUUGAUGCGAGAAGUGAUUGUUUGACGAAUAGAAAUAAUAGGAAAUAAUAAAAAAUAUACCGUGAAAAGUUGGAGGAAUCGUGGCGAAGCUGAAGGGGAUAUUAAGAGGCCAGGUGAAACUCAGGAAAAUCAGCAGAAGAAGGCAUGAAGAAAACAUCAUAGUCAAGAAGUCAUGGCUGAUAAAAGAAAACUUCAAGGUGAAAUAGACAGAUGUUUGAAAAAAGUCACAGAAGGGGUAGAGCAGUUUGAGGACAUUUGGAAAAAGGUAG